UGUCCGGAAUCAUUGGGUGUAAAGGGUGCGUAGGCGGGCUUGUAAGUCUGGGGUGAAAGGCAGUGGCUCAACCAUUGGAUUGCCUGGAUACUGCGAGUCUUGAGUCUCGGAGAGGUCGAUGGAAUUGGUGGUGUAGCGGUGAAAUGCAUAGAGAUCACCAAGAACACCCGGUGGGGAAGCCGGUCGGCUGGACGAGUACUGACGCUCAGGCACGAGAGCGUGGGGAGCGAACAGGAUUAGAUACCCUGGUAGUCCACGCUGUAAACGAUGCAUGCUAGGUGUUGGCCUUAUGGGGUCGGUACUGUAGUUAACGCGCUAAGCAUGCCACCUGGGGAGUACGUCGGCAACGAUGAAACUCAAAGGAAUUGACGGGGGCCCGCACAAGCGGUGGAGCAUGUGGCUUAAUUCGAUGCAACGCGAAGAACCUUACCCGGGCUAAAUUCAUGGUGGCCGAUCCAGAGAUGGGUCUUUCCGUUUACGGACGCUAUGGAAGGUGCUGCAUGGCUGUCGUCAGCUCGUGCCGUGAGGUGUUGGGUUAAGUCCCGCAGCGAGCGCAACCCCUAUGGUCAGUUACCAGCACGUUAAGGUGGGGACUCUGGCCAGACUGCCCGCGCAAGCGGUGAGGAAGGUGGGGACGACGUCAAGUCAUCAUGGCCCUUACGUCCGGGGCUGCACACGUGCUACAAUGGGACUGACAACGGGGAGCGACCCAGCGAUGGGCAGCGAAUCCUGAAACGGUCUCCCAGUUCGGAUUGCAGGCUGCAACUCGCCUGCAUGAAGGUGGAAUCGCUAGUAAUCGCGGAUCAGCUACGCCGCGGUGAAUACGUUCCCGGGCCUUGUACACACCGCCCGUCAAGCGAUGGAAGUCAGGAGUACCUGACCUGGCUGGGCUAACUUUC
This 899-nucleotide ribosomal RNA is filed under the name uncultured Bacteroidota bacterium. RNAcentral's name for it is "bacterial SSU rRNA". It matches the Rfam family "Bacterial small subunit ribosomal RNA", at positions 542 to 1443 of the family's 1533-position model. Lineage: Bacteria; Pseudomonadati; Bacteroidota. The record is from RNAcentral.